This 120-nucleotide small nucleolar RNA is filed under the name Salmo trutta (river trout). RNAcentral describes it as "Small nucleolar RNA SNORA57 (ENSSTUG00000040742.1)". It matches the Rfam family "Small nucleolar RNA SNORA57". From Rfam's summary of the family: U99 belongs to the H/ACA class of snoRNAs which are thought to guide the sites of modification of uridines to pseudouridines, the target for this family is unknown. The record is from Rfam by way of RNAcentral. Lineage: Eukaryota; Metazoa; Chordata; Actinopteri; Salmoniformes; Salmonidae.
CCUCCUUCCUUGGUACGCACGCUGUCUUCUGUGUUAUGGAGGGACAUAAAGUCCAGUGCUUUGUCUGCAGUGCCAGAACGUUUCCAUUUUCUGGUUCUAUCCUCAGUUCCUGAUAUCUAC